AAUGGGGCUGGAGAUUGAAUCAAUGGACAAUGGCCAUUUCUGCAGAUCAGCAAUUCAAGAACAGCUUGGCUGUUGGGUUCUGGCUUGGAGCCUCAAGCAUUGCAACCAUGUGUUGGCUGGGACUGCAGUCAUCUGAAGGUUUGAGGACUUCAGAUGCUGAACGAGAGGUUGAUGGAGUGAAGAGUGAGGUGAAGAAAAGCAAUAAUAGAACCAAGAUGAGAAUCGUCUGAAGUACAUUGGCCUACAAAGGACCAGAUUCUGGUUCAAGAUGUUGACGUACCCAGUGGAGAUCCUGAAGGAAUGUGAUGCUUAAAGUCAGAGUUG
RNAcentral lists this long non-coding RNA (324 nucleotides) under Equus asinus (donkey). RNAcentral describes it as "lncRNA (ENSEASG00005033240.1)". Lineage: Eukaryota; Metazoa; Chordata; Mammalia; Perissodactyla; Equidae. The record is from RNAcentral.